UAGGGAAUCUUCCACAAUGGGCGAAAGCCUGAUGGAGCAACGCCGCGUGUGUGAUGAAGGCUUUAGGGUCGUAAAGCACUGUUGUAUGGGAAGAAAUGCUAGAAUAGGGAAUGAUUCUAGUUCGACGGUACCAUACCAGAAAGGGACGGCUAAAUACGUGCCAGCAGCCGCGGUAAUACGUAUGUCCCGAGCGUUAUCCGGAUUUAUUGGGCGUAAAGCGAGCGCAGACGGUUGAUUAAGUCUGAUGUGAAAGCCCGGAGCUCAACUCCGGAAUGGCAUUGGAAACUGGUUAACUUGAGUGUUGUAGAGGUAAGUGGAACUCCAUGUGUAGCGGUGGAAUGCGUAGAUAUAUGGAAGAACACCAGUGGCGAAGGCGGCUUACUGGACAACAACUGACGUUGAGGCUCGAAAGUGUGGGUAGCAAACAGGAUUAGAUACCCUGGUAGUCCACACCGUAAACGAUGAAUACUAGGUGUUAGGAGGUUUCCGCCUCUUAGUGCCGAAGCUAACGCAUUAAGUAUUCCGCCUGGGGAGUACGACCGCAAGGUU
Molecule: ribosomal RNA, 549 nt
Filed under: uncultured bacterium
Lineage: Bacteria
Description: bacterial SSU rRNA
Rfam family: Bacterial small subunit ribosomal RNA
Source: RNAcentral